CAAAGGUGAGCCAGUACAGGAUGGACCCGCGUCUGAUUAGCUAGUUGGUAAGGUAACGGCUUACCAAGGCGACGAUCAGUAGCCGACCUGAGAGGGUGAUCGGCCACAUUGGAACUGAGACACGGUCCAAACUCCUACGGGAGGCAGCAGUGGGGAAUAUUGCACAAUGGGCGAAAGCCUGAUGCAGCAACGCCGCGUGAGUGAUGAAGGCCUUCGGGUCGUAAAACUCUGUCCUCAAGGAAGAUAAUGACGGUACUUGAGGAGGAAGCCCCGGCUAACUACGUGCCAGCAGCCGCGGUAAUACGUAGGGGGCUAGCGUUAUCCGGAUUUACUGGGCGUAAAGGGUGCGUAGGCGGUCUUUCAAGUCAGGAGUGAAAGGCUACGGCUCAACCGUAGUAAGCUCUUGAAACUGGGAGACUUGAGUGCAGGAGAGGAGAGUGGAAUUCCUAGUGUAGCGGUGAAAUGCGUAGAUAUUAGGAGGAACACCAGUUGCGAAGGCGGCUCUCUGGACUGUAACUGACGCUGAGGCACGAAAGCGUGGGGAGCAAACAGGAUUAGAUACCCUGGUAGUCCACGCUGUAAACGAUGAGUACUAGGUGUCGGGGGUUACCCC
Molecule: ribosomal RNA, 613 nt
Filed under: uncultured bacterium
Lineage: Bacteria
Description: bacterial SSU rRNA
Rfam family: Bacterial small subunit ribosomal RNA
Source: RNAcentral